ACCCUGUGUUGAACUCAGCUGUGUUCGCGGAGGAGGCACUAAAGGGUGAGAGGAGAGUGUGGCGUAUUGUUGGCCAGUCCUUUCCUCCUCCCUCCUAACUAUACUUGGCUCCUUUCCGUUAAACAGACAUAGUCCUAGAAACCAAAAUAACUUUAUAAACUGUAAGAAGAAUGAGAAGACGCAACUUCUUUUAAACUCAACUUUAUUGGAGCUCGAAGCCCGAGGAAGCCUAUUGGACAAACACAGUUGCUCCAGAUGAUGCAAAUCUAGAAUUCACAGAUGCUCUGACCUGUUUCCACCUAGCAGAAUCAACUCCCCAUGCAUUUCUGUUUCUCGAUAGAAAGCAAUGACCCACCUUCAGGAGCAUGGUUGCCCUUAGGCUUCUUCCUCUGCAGGUAGAGGGAUGGAAGGCUUCCCUCUGGAGCGUCUUCCACACAUGCCACACUAUGUGACACUAAUAAAGCGUUGGAUGCUUGCUGUGUGUGACCAGA
Mus musculus (house mouse) is the source of this 491-nucleotide long non-coding RNA. RefSeq annotates it as predicted gene, 39650. The transcript has 2 exons. Lineage: Eukaryota; Metazoa; Chordata; Mammalia; Rodentia; Muridae. The record is from RefSeq and is a predicted model, not a curated record.